GACGAACGCUGGCGGCGUGCUUAACACAUGCAAGUCGAACGGAAAGGCCCUGCUUUUGUGGGGUGCUCGAGUGGCGAACGGGUGAGUAACACGUGAGUAACCUGCCCUUGACUUUGGGAUAACUUCAGGAAACUGGGGCUCAUACCGGAUAGGAGCUCCUGCUGCAUGGUGGGGGUUGGAAAGUUUCGGCGGUUGGGGCUGGACUCGCGGCUUAUCAGCUUGUUGGUGGGGUAGUGGCUUACCAAGGCUUUGACGGGUAGCCGGCCUGAGAGGGUGACCGGCCACAAUGGGACUGAGAUACGGACCAGAAUCCUACGGGAGGCAGCAGUGGGGAAUAUUGCACAAUGGGCGGAAGCCUGAUGCAGCAGCGCCGCGUGCGGGAUGACGGCCUUCGGGUUGUAAACCGCUUUCGCCUGUGACGAAGCGUGAGUGACGGUAAUGGGUAAAGAAGCACCGGCUAACUACGUG
Molecule: ribosomal RNA, 468 nt
Filed under: uncultured bacterium
Lineage: Bacteria
Description: partial 16S ribosomal RNA
Rfam family: Bacterial small subunit ribosomal RNA
Source: RNAcentral